Molecule: long non-coding RNA, 564 nt
Organism: Acanthochromis polyacanthus (spiny chromis)
Lineage: Eukaryota; Metazoa; Chordata; Actinopteri; Pomacentridae
Exons: 2
Source: RefSeq, a predicted model, not a curated record
UAUAAUUAGCAGAAUGAAAACACCACAUGUAGGACACACAGGGAAAGAUAUCCAGAAAUUUAAACAAACAUGCAAAUGGAAAAAAACACUAUUUGCUAUACAGAUAUUCAGGAUUUACUUUCCUUUUUAAUAAAUUUUUAAAAAGUUAAUCAUUUCUCAUUUAGUAGGAAUAUAAGAUGGUGACAAAAAUGUUGUCUAGCUUUUAUUUUUAAGUUAACAGUGAAAAAGAAUCUGGAUUCAGAAUGAGAGAAUCUCUUUACCAGCAUAUUUUCUGCAUUCUGACUCCAGUAUUUAGAUUAAUCAUUGUGGCUUUUGGAUUUUUGACAAACAAAAUUAAGGAUUAUUUCUAGCAUUGCCAGGUAGAUGUUUGGUUUUCCAUCUCUGCAAAGGAUUUAACUAUUUAGAGAUGAUAAAUCAUGGUGACUUUUGAAUUUUUGAUGAACAAUAAUGUGAAAUAUUUCCAGUAUUGUCCUCCAACAGGUAGAUGAAACCAACACUGUUAGGUUUUCUAUCCAUGAGAAGAAUUUAACUCUGUUUUGAGAUGAUACAUCAUGGAGAUUUUUG